This 2925-nucleotide ribosomal RNA is filed under the name Escherichia coli. RNAcentral's name for it is "bacterial LSU rRNA". It matches the Rfam family "Bacterial large subunit ribosomal RNA". Lineage: Bacteria; Pseudomonadati; Pseudomonadota; Gammaproteobacteria; Enterobacterales; Enterobacteriaceae. The record is from RNAcentral.
GGGUUGUGAGGUUAAGCGACUAAGCGUACACGGUGGAUGCCCUGGCAGUCAGAGGCGAUGAAGGACGUGCUAAUCUGCGAUAAGCGUCGGUAAGGUGAUAUGAACCGUUAUAACCGGCGAUUUCCGAAUGGGGAAACCCAGUGUGUUUCGACACACUAUCAUUAACUGAAUCCAUAGGUUAAUGAGGCGAACCGGGGGAACUGAAACAUCUAAGUACCCCGAGGAAAAGAAAUCAACCGAGAUUCCCCCAGUAGCGGCGAGCGAACGGGGAGCAGCCCAGAGCCUGAAUCAGUGUGUGUGUUAGUGGAAGCGUCUGGAAAGGCGCGCGAUACAGGGUGACAGCCCCGUACACAAAAAUGCACAUGCUGUGAGCUCGAUGAGUAGGGCGGGACACGUGGUAUCCUGUCUGAAUAUGGGGGGACCAUCCUCCAAGGCUAAAUACUCCUGACUGACCGAUAGUGAACCAGUACCGUGAGGGAAAGGCGAAAAGAACCCCGGCGAGGGGAGUGAAAAAGAACCUGAAACCGUGUACGUACAAGCAGUGGGAGCACGCUUAGGCGUGUGACUGCGUACCUUUUGUAUAAUGGGUCAGCGACUUAUAUUCUGUAGCAAGGUUAACCGAAUAGGGGAGCCGAAGGGAAACCGAGUCUUAACUGGGCGUUAAGUUGCAGGGUAUAGACCCGAAACCCGGUGAUCUAGCCAUGGGCAGGUUGAAGGUUGGGUAACACUAACUGGAGGACCGAACCGACUAAUGUUGAAAAAUUAGCGGAUGACUUGUGGCUGGGGGUGAAAGGCCAAUCAAACCGGGAGAUAGCUGGUUCUCCCCGAAAGCUAUUUAGGUAGCGCCUCGUGAAUUCAUCUCCGGGGGUAGAGCACUGUUUCGGCAAGGGGGUCAUCCCGACUUACCAACCCGAUGCAAACUGCGAAUACCGGAGAAUGUUAUCACGGGAGACACACGGCGGGUGCUAACGUCCGUCGUGAAGAGGGAAACAACCCAGACCGCCAGCUAAGGUCCCAAAGUCAUGGUUAAGUGGGAAACGAUGUGGGAAGGCCCAGACAGCCAGGAUGUUGGCUUAGAAGCAGCCAUCAUUUAAAGAAAGCGUAAUAGCUCACUGGUCGAGUCGGCCUGCGCGGAAGAUGUAACGGGGCUAAACCAUGCACCGAAGCUGCGGCAGCGACGCUGAUGCGUUGUUGGGUAGGGGAGCGUUCUGUAAGCCUGUGAAGGUGUGCUGUGAGGCAUGCUGGAGGUAUCAGAAGUGCGAAUGCUGACAUAAGUAACGAUAAAGCGGGUGAAAAGCCCGCUCGCCGGAAGACCAAGGGUUCCUGUCCAACGUUAAUCGGGGCAGGGUGAGUCGACCCCUAAGGCGAGGCCGAAAGGCGUAGUCGAUGGGAAACAGGUUAAUAUUCCUGUACUUGGUGUUACUGCGAAGGGGGGACGGAGAAGGCUAUGUUGGCCGGGCGACGGUUGUCCCGGUUUAAGCGUGUAGGCUGGUUUUCCAGGCAAAUCCGGAAAAUCAAGGCUGAGGCGUGAUGACGAGGCACUACGGUGCUGAAGCAACAAAUGCCCUGCUUCCAGGAAAAGCCUCUAAGCAUCAGGUAACAUCAAAUCGUACCCCAAACCGACACAGGUGGUCAGGUAGAGAAUACCAAGGCGCUUGAGAGAACUCGGGUGAAGGAACUAGGCAAAAUGGUGCCGUAACUUCGGGAGAAGGCACGCUGAUAUGUAGGUGAAGUCCCUCGCGGAUGGAGCUGAAAUCAGUCGAAGAUACCAGCUGGCUGCAACUGUUUAUUAAAAACACAGCACUGUGCAAACACGAAAGUGGACGUAUACGGUGUGACGCCUGCCCGGUGCCGGAAGGUUAAUUGAUGGGGUCAGCGCAAGCGAAGCUCUUGAUCGAAGCCCCGGUAAACGGCGGCCGUAACUAUAACGGUCCUAAGGUAGCGAAAUUCCUUGUCGGGUAAGUUCCGACCUGCACGAAUGGCGUAAUGAUGGCCAGGCUGUCUCCACCCGAGACUCAGUGAAAUUGAACUCGCUGUGAAGAUGCAGUGUACCCGCGGCAAGACGGAAAGACCCCGUGAACCUUUACUAUAGCUUGACACUGAACAUUGAGCCUUGAUGUGUAGGAUAGGUGGGAGGCUUGGAAGUGUGGACGCCAGUCUGCAUGGAGCCGACCUUGAAAUACCACCCUUUAAUGUUUGAUGUUCUAACGUUGACCCGUAAUCCGGGUUGCGGACAGUGUCUGGUGGGUAGUUUGACUGGGGCGGUCUCCUCCUAAAGAGUAACGGAGGAGCACGAAGGUUGGCUAAUCCUGGUCGGACAUCAGGAGGUUAGUGCAAUGGCAUAAGCCAGCUUGACUGCGAGCGUGACGGCGCGAGCAGGUGCGAAAGCAGGUCAUAGUGAUCCGGUGGUUCUGAAUGGAAGGGCCAUCGCUCAACGGAUAAAAGGUACUCCGGGGAUAACAGGCUGAUACCGCCCAAGAGUUCAUAUCGACGGCGGUGUUUGGCACCUCGAUGUCGGCUCAUCACAUCCUGGGGCUGAAGUAGGUCCCAAGGGUAUGGCUGUUCGCCAUUUAAAGUGGUACGCGAGCUGGGUUUAGAACGUCGUGAGACAGUUCGGUCCCUAUCUGCCGUGGGCGCUGGAGAACUGAGGGGGGCUGCUCCUAGUACGAGAGGACCGGAGUGGACGCAUCACUGGUGUUCGGGUUGUCAUGCCAAUGGCACUGCCCGGUAGCUAAAUGCGGAAGAGAUAAGUGCUGAAAGCAUCUAAGCACGAAACUUGCCCCGAGAUGAGUUCUCCCUGACUCCUUGAGAGUCCUGAAGGAACGUUGAAGACGACGACGUUGAUAGGCCGGGUGUGUAAGCGCAGCGAUGCGUUGAGCUAACCGGUACUAAUGAACCGUGAGGCUUAACCUUACAACGCCGAAG